GGAGGGAGCAUAAACAUUCCUAAAAAUAGGGUUUGGCUCUCCAAACCCCACAGCAAACUGGAAAGGGAGGGCAGGAGAGGCGGAGGGGCAGCCCGGGACUUCUGAAGAGGGUCCCUGCCGGGGCCGGGUCUUUCCCAUGUUCCUCUCCAGCUCUGAGGGUCCAGGCCUGGGUGUCUUCCCAGGGUGGGGGGAGGCCCGAGGGCAGUGUCUUGGCGUUUCUGGAUCUCAUGGCACCUUUGCAUGAAGCCUUGGGCACAGCGAGCCUGACAACAUCCAGAAGGAAGCCCUCGGCCGAGGGAGGAGGGGCCCUCGCGAUGGAGCUGCUUGUUUUCGUCUUUCAGGAACAGAUGUUUGAGCUACGAGGGCCACGAUGCACAUUUCUGCAAGCUGGAUCUCAUUUGCCUCUUCGGCUUCCAUUACGCAGCGGGGCUCCUCUCCCCCGGGGGACAUCCCGGCAGAUGGCCAGGGAGCAGCGUGGCGUGGAAGAUUCGUCCCUCCCCCCGCCAUGGCCACGUCCCUCUGCUGUGACCUUCCAGGGCUCCACUGGGCAUGAGCGCUCGUCAGCCCGGCGUUGGAGAGCCCUGCGUGGCACCUCACGGAUAGUCACACGCCUCGGAGAGGGCCAGCCCGCUGCGUCCCCAGGCUCCAGAACCAGGCCCACCACCCAGCAGGUGCUCAGUCAUGACUUGCUGCGACUGUGAAAUGCGUGCACAGCGUCGCCUGCCCUGGAAGACAGCAGAGGCAUGUCUCAGUGCACCGUGCCACUGCCGCCCGCCGUCAUCACCAUCCCCUGGAAGUGGCCUCUCUGCUGCAUACCCAGCCCCGGGAGCCACCUGCGCUCUGGGCCUCGGCCCCUCACUCCUCCACACGGCCCCCGUGUGGGCAUUGCUGCAGCAGGAUUCUCUUUUCAAAACUUUAUUUCUUCCCCAGUUUUAUUGGGAUCUAACUGACAUACAAUGUAUUAGUUUGGGGCGUACAACACGAUGACUUGAUAGAUGUGGGUAUCACGAUGAGCACCAGAAUCGCUCAGUUAGCGUCCAUCGCACACAGCCACACAGUCUUUAUCUUGUCAGGGGAACUUUGAUGAUUUGCUCUCUGGCAAGUUUCAAAUAUACGCUCCGGCCUCGUCACCUUCAGGCGGGAUUCCUCAGCGAUAUUCAUUCCCGUUUAUUCCCCGUCAUUCUCCCUCCUCCGAUUCCAAGACAGUUUGUCGCUCUGUGAAUUUUCUUGAUUUUGUUUUUACCAAGCAGGGAGUAGAAGCUUCUGGCAGACAGUUAUCUAUCUGCCUUGUAUUAAGCUGGGCUCUCUAGAGACACAGACCAAUGGGAUAUCCACAUCCACAUCCAUAUCCAUAUCAAUAUCUACAUCCACAUAUCAUCUGUAUCUAUGUCUGUCUAUCUAUCUAUCCAUCUGUCUGUCUGUCUGUCUAUCUACUUGUCUAUCUCCCUAUCUAGAGACUCAUUAGAAGGAAUUGGCUCACGUGGUUAUGGAGGCUGAGAAGCCCCACGAUUUGCCGUCUGCACGCUGGAGGCCCAGGAGGCCGUGGUGUAAGCUCCAGUCCGACUCUGGGUCCAAAGGCAGGGAAGACGGACGUCCCUGCGUGAAGACAGUCAGGCAGAGAGAGUGAAUCCUCCCUUACUCCCUUUUUGUUCUAUUCAGGCCUUCAACUGAUUGGACAAGGCCCACCCACAUUGGGGAGAACAAUCUGCUUCAGUCAGUCUAUGGAUUCAAAUGUUAAUCUCAUCCAGAAACACACCCAGAAUGGUGUUUGACCAAAUACCAGGGCAGCCCUUGGUCCAGCAAGCUGAUACAUAAAAUUAGCCAUCUCAUGCCUUUUGUGAAAACCCCAUGUAUUAAUCAGUCAGGGUAUAGGCUCAGCUGCUGUAACAAAGAAACCCCCAAACACACAGGUUCAGACAGGAGAGGAGUUUGUUUCUGCUGGGAGAUGUGCCAAGGGAGGCGAAGGCAGGAGAGUCUGGGGACCCUGUCCCUCCGUCUUGUUCCAGCAGCCCCAGGAUACAGUCCUUCACGGCCCCGGGGGGACGUGGAGCCAGAACCAGACCCACGUCUAGCUCUCAGAAGCGGGAGAGAAAGACAGUGGCGGGCAGGCGGCUGCUGCGAAAGUGGCACGACCGUUUCUGCGGCAUCCGACGGGAGCGAGGGCGUGGGGUGGGUGGCGGCUCAGCAUCCGGUCCCAGCUGCGCGCUCUCACAGGGCUGGGCGUCCCAGACCCAAUGUGAGCAGCUAUCGGCUCUGGAGCGGCGCCGAGGGAGAGGGGGUUCCACAGGCUGGAGUCGCAGAGCCAGGCUGGCCUGGUCACCUCAUCCCGCGGUGCUGCCGGGAGGGGACAGGAUCUGGGCGCUGCCUCUGCGCCCGCAUGGACGGCUGCCCGCCAUGCAGAUGCUGCGGAGCUUCCACCAGAGGGACCGCGGGCUGCAUCCUGCACAUCUUACGGGCGGCCGGAGGGACCCCUCGGUCAUUUGGUCUCUCAUCCGACACAGCACGGAGCAGCCCACUCCUGAGACCGAGACUGAAUUUCCUUGGAAUCG
Long non-coding RNA from Equus asinus (donkey), 2549 nucleotides. NCBI's taxonomy places the organism in Eukaryota, Metazoa, Chordata, Mammalia, Perissodactyla, Equidae. The record is from Ensembl.